RNAcentral lists this long non-coding RNA (558 nucleotides) under Cyanistes caeruleus (blue tit). RNAcentral describes it as "lncRNA (ENSCCEG00000015265.1)". The record is from RNAcentral. Lineage: Eukaryota; Metazoa; Chordata; Aves; Passeriformes; Paridae.
GUGCUUUGCCCUAUAAAUACUUUAACAGAGAAUUGCACCCUUCUAACACCUCACAAAGGAAACUGUUAACUGAAUCCCUUCCUACACGUCUGUGUUCUGUAGCCACGUCCCUGUGUGAGAAUACUGAAGGCUGAGAAAGAGCAAAACUGCUGAACUGAGCUCAUGCUCAAACACUUUGUGUCACUCUGAUAAACACUCCUGUCCUCUCAGCAGCUACUCUGCUCCCCUCUCCAGUGUGCUGGGAGACAGCAGCCUGGCAGCAAUGGCCCUACCCUUCUGUGCAGGGCACAAUCACAUCUGAAGAGAUUCCCCAGCACUGGUGAGGCAGCAGAGCCUGGGAUCCUGUUACUCUCACUCCCCUCUUCUGCUGCCAAUUCCUGUGGAGUGGGGGCACCCCAAUUCCUGCAGGGCAGCCACAGCACCCAGCAGGAGUGGGAUCCCCUGCAGGUACCCUUAAUGCACCAGGACACGCCUGCCCUGGUGUGUGAGUACCUGUGGGGAGCAGAAAGCCACAGAACAAACUGGGAUCCUCUCAGAUAUGGAACUUGUUCAGUGUAA